RNAcentral lists this long non-coding RNA (285 nucleotides) under Suricata suricatta (meerkat). RNAcentral's name for it is "lncRNA (ENSSSUG00005019939.1)". The record is from RNAcentral. Lineage: Eukaryota; Metazoa; Chordata; Mammalia; Carnivora; Herpestidae.
AGAAGGCCUGCCUUUCUUAUUCCUCCUCCAACUUAUUUAUUCCUGCAGGGAAAUUUCUGCUGCAGAUUCCCCGAAGGGACGGCUCCCAAGGACUCAUCACCCAUCCCAUUUACCCAGUGAUUACUACAGGGGACAACAGGAGAUUGAGGGAGCAAGUCAACGGGCUGCGGAGGCCACCAAGCCACUGGGAAGCCCUGAGAAGAGCAGGUUUUAAGAAGGAGAACGAACCGUGAUUUCAAGCAGCCACUAGAUGCCAGGCGGGACCGUGGAUCAUCACAGACAGUU